This 246-nucleotide ribosomal RNA is filed under the name uncultured Lactobacillus sp. RNAcentral's name for it is "partial 16S ribosomal RNA". It matches the Rfam family "Bacterial small subunit ribosomal RNA", at positions 116 to 354 of the family's 1533-position model. The record is from RNAcentral. Lineage: Bacteria; Bacillati; Bacillota; Bacilli; Lactobacillales; Lactobacillaceae.
CGUGGGUAACCUGCCCAAGAGAUCGGGAUAACACCUGGAAACAGAUGCUAAUACCGGAUAACAACAGAUGAUGCCUAUCAACUGUUUAAAAGAUGGUUCUGCUAUCACUCUUGGAUGGACCUGCGGUGCAUUAGCUAGUUGGUAGGGUAACGGCCUACCAAGGCGAUGAUGCAUAGCCGAGUUGAGAGACCGAUCGGCCACAUUGGGACUGAGACACGGCCCAAACUCCUACGGGAGGCAGCAGAA